This 1596-nucleotide long non-coding RNA is filed under the name Lucilia cuprina (Australian sheep blowfly). RNAcentral's name for it is "uncharacterized LOC124420437, transcript variant X2". The record is from RNAcentral. Lineage: Eukaryota; Metazoa; Arthropoda; Insecta; Diptera; Calliphoridae.
UUUAUUUGAUUAAGAUUUUUUUAUGCACCGAACCACGUUUUAAUUUUCACUAAAGUCCACUUUGUAUAUUUCAAAUAUAAUUCAUUUCACUUACCUUAAAUUCCCGGAACCAUCUUAAUCCCUAGUCCACUGGCCCAUCUGGAACAAAACCUGAAAAAUUUAAAACAAAUUUAUUAGAAAAUUUUAUAGAAAUAAUUAAAAUAAUUUCCACACUUUUUUUACUUACCAUUUCAUUCUGCUUCCAUCCGCCAUCUUUCAGAAUCGCCAUCAAGUUUUUUAUAGGCCCAAGACAGCCAACAUGAUCCCUGUAAAGAAAAGAAAAAAAUGGUUGUGUUAGAUAACAACACCACUAAUAAAUUUUUCUAUCACUAUGUUUUUGUUACUUACCUUAUUUAAAAUCCCCUUAUACGGCCGUAGAAAUCCAUCAGAACCUGCAAAGAAACAAAAAAAAUAAUAUAUUAUUUUAAACAAUUUGAAUUAAUAUUUUUAUUAUUUUAUUGUUUAUUUACCAGAAAAAUGCUUACCUCGUCGUUUCAUUGAGUUUUUUUAUUUGGGUGCUUCUCCUUUUACCCACGCGUAGUAUUCUUCUUAUUUGCCUUCUCCUCUUCCAUUCAAUCAAGCAGCUGUUCACAAUACGUCGCCGCCUAGCCAGUUUUUAACGGAGAAAGAAGAAGAGGAAUAAAAAUAACAACAAAUAGCUUUAGAAAAAAUUUUAUGUGGGCAAACAAAUUGCUGAAAAUUUGUUGAAGCCAUAUUGGUAACCGAGAAAGAAACAAAUGUCGGUCCUUUUUGAUUUUUGCUCGGAGAGAAGAAGAAGGUGGAGUCUGUGGCCUCGUCAGAAGAAGAAAAAACUUAAAUUUUUGAUUUGUAUUUAUAAAUAAAAUAAAUUUUAUUUACAAAAAUUUUAAACUUAAAGCUAAACUUAAAACUAAAACUUAAAAAUAUAAAAAUAAAAUAAAGAACCACAAAAUAUACAAACCUGCAAUCACCGACUCCAUCCAACGAGGGAGAAGCUGUUUUCCAGCACCACCACACCUGGGGUGCUCUGGUAUAAGUUUUGGUUUUCGACCUUCUGUGAGUUUGCACCCGGACGACAAGACGGACCGGACGAGUGUCCUUUUUAAAUAAUUUUCUAUAGAAAAAAGGAAAGGUUAGACUAUAUAAAUAUAUAUUCGUAUUGCUAGGCUUACCUAUCAUUCAUCGUAUCGAAUCUAUCCCGUUUGCGUUUUUUGAGCAGGGUUGAGCUCAGGCCUCUUACAAUGUAACGCGUGAUUUUGAGAUCUCAGGUGGUCUUAGCCAUAUAUAUUUAUAACAAAAAAACCUGUAAAAACAAGCAAAAUUAUUUAAAAGGUGGGUUAACUUAAAAUAUAUUUUCAAUUACUUACCUGUCCGUACUUUAUCCGUACCUAAUACGAACGGACAGGAAAGCCUCAUUCGCCAAAAGAACUCUUCCCGCUCUAUAAUUGCCUCCCGUAAACCAGCUAGUUGCCGCAAAAAAAGAAUUGCCAGAUCCGGUUUAGCUCCGAGCGGAAUUAUGAACUUUUCAAACGCAAACAUAAAUUUGAGUUCAUAUAGUUUAACCUCAAUCCAAACCUA